RNAcentral lists this ribosomal RNA (406 nucleotides) under uncultured bacterium. Its description in RNAcentral is "partial 16S ribosomal RNA". It matches the Rfam family "Bacterial small subunit ribosomal RNA", at positions 30 to 526 of the family's 1533-position model. The record is from RNAcentral.
AUUGAACGCUGGCGGCAGGCCUAACACAUGCAAGUCGAACGAGCGGCGGACGGGUGAGUAAUGUAUGGGAAACUGCCCGAUGGAGGGGGAUAACUACUGGAAACGGUGGCUAAUACCGCAUACUAUCAGAUGAGCCCAGAUGGGAUUAGCUAGUUGGUGGGGUAAAGGCUCACCUAGGCGACGAUCUCUAGCUGGUCUGAGAGGAUGACCAGCCACACUGUGACUGAGACACGGUCCAGACUCCUACGGGAGGCAGCAGUGGGGAAUAUUGCACAAUGGGCGCAAGCCUGAUGCAGCCAUGCCGCGUGUAUGAAGAAGGCCUUCGGGUUGUAAAGUACUUUCAGCGGGGAGGCGUUACCCGCAGAAGAAGCACCGGCUAACUCCGUGCCAGCAGCCGCGGUAAUUC